Molecule: non-coding RNA, 184 nt
Organism: Vigna umbellata (rice bean)
Lineage: Eukaryota; Viridiplantae; Streptophyta; Magnoliopsida; Fabales; Fabaceae
Source: RefSeq, a predicted model, not a curated record
CUGUAGGAAAUAAAUCAGAGGAGGUGCAAAAGUACUUGAUAGAAAUGUUUGAAAAAGCUGGUAAAGAGGUCUAUUUAGCACCUUACUUGCAUAAGGGUCAUUGGCAAUUGCUAGUUAUUGUUCCUGAUCGUUCUCUUGUAGUUCUCUUAUGUUCCUUGCAUAAGAAAGCUAACACAUUGUCCAU